RNAcentral lists this ribosomal RNA (202 nucleotides) under uncultured bacterium. Its description in RNAcentral is "partial 16S ribosomal RNA". It matches the Rfam family "Bacterial small subunit ribosomal RNA", at positions 332 to 526 of the family's 1533-position model. The record is from RNAcentral.
CCUACUCCUACGGGAGGCAGCAGUAGGGAAUCUUCCACAAUGGGCGAAAGCCUGAUGGAGCAACGCCGCGUGUGUGAUGAAGGGUUUCGGCUCGUAAAACACUGUUGUAAGAGAAGAAUGACAUUGAGAGUAACUGUUCAAUGUGUGACGGUAUCUUACCAGAAAGGAACGGCUAAAUACAUGCCAGCAGCCGCGGUAAUAA